GAGUUUGAUCCUGGCUCAGGAUGAACGCUGGCGGCGUGCCUAACACAUGCAAGUCGAACGAAGCACUUUUCCCGAAUUUUUCGGAAUGAGGGGACUGUGACUGAGUGGCGGACGGGUGAGUAACGCGUGGGGAACCUGCCCCGUACCGGGGGAUAACAGCCGGAAACGGCUGCUAAUACCGCAUAAGCGCACAGUGCCGCAUGGCACAGUGUGAAAAACCACGGUGGUACGGGAUGGACCCGCGUCUGAUUAGUUAGUUGGCAGGGUAACGGCCUACCAAGACAGCGAUCAGUAGCCGGCCUGAGAGGGUGGACGGCCACACUGGGACUGAGACAUGGCCCAGACUCCUGCGGGAGGCAGCAGUGGGGAAUAUUGCACAAUGGGGGAAACCCUGAUGCAGCGACGCCGCGUGAGCGAGGAAGUAUUUCGGUAUGUAAAGCUCUGUCAGCAGGGAAGAAGAAUGACGGUACCUGAAGAAGAAGCACCGGCUAAAUACGUGCCAGCAGCCGCGGUAAUACGUAUGGUGCAAGCGUUAUCCGGAUUUACUGGGUGUAAAGGGAGCGCAGGCGGUACUGCAAGUCUGGUGUGAAAGCCCGGGGCUCAACCCCGGGACUGCACUGGAAACUGCAGGACUGGAGUGUC
RNAcentral lists this ribosomal RNA (642 nucleotides) under uncultured bacterium. Its description in RNAcentral is "bacterial SSU rRNA". It matches the Rfam family "Bacterial small subunit ribosomal RNA", at positions 9 to 650 of the family's 1533-position model. The record is from RNAcentral.